This 397-nucleotide ribosomal RNA is filed under the name uncultured bacterium. RNAcentral's name for it is "partial 16S ribosomal RNA". It matches the Rfam family "Bacterial small subunit ribosomal RNA", at positions 523 to 918 of the family's 1533-position model. The record is from RNAcentral.
AUACGUAGGGGGCGAGCGUUGUCCGGAAUGAUUGGGCGUAAAGGGCGCGUAGGCGGCCUGUUAAGUCUGGAGUGAAAGUCCUGUUUUCAAGAUGGGAAUUGCUUUGGAUACUGAUGGGCUUGAGUGCAGGAGAGGUUAUCGGAAUUCCCGGUGUAGCGGUGAAAUGCGUAGAGAUCGGGAGGAACACCAGUGGCGAAGGCGGGUCUCUGGGCAGUAACUGACGCUGAGGAGCGAAAGCAUGGGUAGCGAACAGGAUUAGAUACCCUGGUAGUCCAUGCCGUAAACGAUGAAUGCUGGGUGUAGGGGGUAUCGACCCCUUCUGUGCCGCAGUCAACACAAUAAGCAUUCCGCCUGGGGAGUACGGCCGCAAGGUUGAAACUCAAAUGAAUUGACGGGG